Molecule: ribosomal RNA, 223 nt
Filed under: uncultured bacterium
Lineage: Bacteria
Description: partial 16S ribosomal RNA
Rfam family: Bacterial small subunit ribosomal RNA
Source: RNAcentral
CUGCCCUCCGCGGGGGACAACAGUCCGAAAGGACUGCUAAUACCGCAUCCGUCAGUAGGCUCCUCGGAGCUUAUUGGGAAAGGUGGCCUCUUCAUGAAAGCUACCACCGGAGGAUGAGUCCGCGGCCCAUCAGCUAGUUGGCGGGGUAAUGGCCCACCAAGGCUAAGACGGGUAGCUGGUCUGAGAGGAUGAUCAGCCACACUGGGACUGAGACACGGCCCAG